CCGGGGUGGUUGCUAAGGUGUUGCUAGGUGGUUGCUAGGUGGUUGCUAAGGUGUUGCUAUGCGGUUGCUAAGGUGUUGCUAUGGUAUCUGGGGUGGUUGCUAAGGUGUUGCUAUGGUAUCCGGGGUGGUUGCUAAGGUGUUGCUAGGUGGUUGCUAAGGUGUUGCUAUGGUAUCCAGGGUGGUUGGUAAGGUGUUGCUAGGUGGUUGCUAAGGUGUUGCUAUGGUAUCCGGGGUGUUGCCAAGGUGUUGCUAGGUGGUUGCUAGGGUGUUGCUAGGCGGUUGCUAGGCGGUUGCUAUGGUAUCCGGGGUGGUUGCUAAGGUGUUGCUAGGUGGUUGCUAGGUGGUUGCUAAGGUGUUGCUAGGUGGUUGCUAAAGUGUUGCUAUGGUAUCCGGGGUGCUUGCUAAGGUGUUGCUAGGCGGUUGCUAUGGUAUCUGGGUUGGUUGCUAAGGUGUUGCUAGGUGGUUGCUAAGGUGUUGCUAGAUGGUUGCUAAGGUGUUGCUAUGGUAUCCGGGGUGGUUGCUAAGGUGUUGCUAGGUGGUUGCUAGGCGGUUGCUAAGGUGUUGCUAUGGUAUCCGAGGUGGUUGCUAAAUGGUUACUAGGCAGUUGCUAACGUAUUCCACAUGGUUGCUAAGUGGUUGCUAGGCACUUGCUAAUGUUUUCCAGGUGGUUGCUAAGGUGUACCUAACUGGUUGCUAGGCAGUUGCUAAUUUUUCUAAAGUGGUUGCUAAGCAGUUGCUAGGCAGUUGCUAACGUUUUCCAGGUGGUUGCUAAGGUGUUGCUAACUGGUUGCUAGGCAGUUGCUAACGUAUUCCACAUGGUUGCUAAGUGGUUGCUAGGCAGUUGUGAUCAUUUCUAAAGUGGUUGCUAAGUGGUUUC
This is a long non-coding RNA of Astyanax mexicanus (Mexican tetra), 877 nucleotides long. RefSeq lists it as uncharacterized. The record is from RefSeq and is a predicted model, not a curated record. The transcript has 4 exons. NCBI's taxonomy places the organism in Eukaryota, Metazoa, Chordata, Actinopteri, Characiformes, Acestrorhamphidae.